GGGUGCUUAGCUCAGCUGGGAGAGCGUCGCCCUUACAAGGCGAAGGUCGGGGGUUCAAACCCCUCAGCACCCACCA
RNAcentral lists this transfer RNA (76 nucleotides) under Gammaproteobacteria bacterium. Its description in RNAcentral is "tRNA-Val". It matches the Rfam family "tRNA". Rfam says of the family: Transfer RNA (tRNA) molecules are approximately 80 nucleotides in length. Lineage: Bacteria; Pseudomonadati; Pseudomonadota; Gammaproteobacteria. The record is from RNAcentral. RNAcentral also lists the same sequence under 1 other name.